RNAcentral lists this unclassified non-coding RNA (358 nucleotides) under rhizosphere metagenome. Its description in RNAcentral is "partial ribosomal RNA internal transcribed spacer region". The record is from RNAcentral.
GUAGGUGAACCUGCGGAAGGAUCAUUAACACGUAUCCAACGUUAUCCACCCACCCCGGUCUCCUGUGUUUUCGAUGCCUUGCCUCGCAAGGUGCAACCAGCCCGUCGGCGCACGUGAUGUGCAUCACUCUCGGCCCCUCUUAUUGUCAUUCUGGUGUCCGCUGUACAGGCCUCACUGUUGACUACGAGACACACCCUACACUUACCCCACUCACCCUCCUUACACUAGUUGUCUACUUUAUGUUGCUCAUAGGUCUGCCAAUCCUUUGCUACCACAAUGGAUUGUCGCACACCCCUGGCACACGUUUACUUAUCUGAACGUUAAAAUACAACUCUUAGCAAUGGAUAUCUUGGUUCUC